This is a long non-coding RNA of Cyprinus carpio carpio, 1242 nucleotides long. The record is from Ensembl. Lineage: Eukaryota; Metazoa; Chordata; Actinopteri; Cypriniformes; Cyprinidae.
AGCCGCCAUUAUUGGUAGGGCAGUGUCAAGUGACAUCAACCACACUAGUGCCUUAUUAAAGCAUACACUGCCUCAGCCUAAAGUGCAACAGUUUGACACAAUCUGUUGUGACACAAAUGUCACACCAUGUAACAUGGGGAAAUGUUACACCACUUUUUGCAGGGAAUGAUUUCUGGCUACAACUCUUCUAUUAAGCCAUGUAAAGGUUUUAUGGCUGCUACUGUACAUUUUGUCAUUUAGGACAAACUAAUUUUAUUGAUAUGUAUGUAUGAUAUGUGUGUGUGUGUGUGUGUGUGUGUGUGUGUGUGUGUGUGUGUGUGUGUGUGUGUGUGUGUGUAUCUGUAUUUGUAAAAAAAAAAAUACUAGAAUAAUUAGGCUAUUUUUGUUGAGGAAUGCAAAAAAAAAAAAAAAAACUGUUUAUUGAUUAAUUGAGUGAUUGUUUGAGUUGCAGGACUUUUUUUAAGUUUUAGGGCUAUUUAUUUUUUGAGUUUUAGUCUUUGCCUUUUGGGGCUAAACGAUUUAAGAAAAAAAAAAAACUGUAAAAUUACAAUACUAUUAUUUACUGUAUGAUUUUUCAAAACAAAAAGAGGAUCCCAUUGCAAAAAAAUUAAAAAUAAAAAAAUAAAAAAAUAAAAUAAAAAUCCACAUCCAGGCACUCACAUAGCAAGCAAAGUAAAAACUCUUUAAUUAUAAGACAGGGCUACAUAUUAAAAAACACCAACGCAUAUCAGCCCAAGCAGGCCUUCAUCAGGGUUGGGCUGAUACGUGUUGGUGUUUUUUGAUAUGUAGCCCCGUCUUAUAAUUAAAGGUUUUUUAAUUUGCUUGCUAUGUGAGUGCCUGGAUGUGGAUUUUUCUGUUUUUGCAAUGGGAUCACUUUUUGUUUUUGACAAUUUGCUCCCUCUCUGGAGCACCCAUAGCCUUGCUUGUGAUUACCUGAUGCACCCUUGGUCAAUAUUUUUUUUUUUCUCUGACUAUUAUUUAUGAUUUUAUUUUGUGCUGGUUGCAGCUUUAAUUUCAAAUAAAAUCAACACAGUCAGACAUGGACAAGGGACAUGGAAAGUGUCAAAGUUCACAUUCAGGGAAGACAUUAACACACACUAACUUUAUUUACCAUGUUGUAAAACGUGGUACUACUGCACUAUAUGUGCUAUUCUGAAUGCAUAUUUUACAGCAAAUCUUUACUCCACAGCUGGCCAUAAGCAAAGACGACAUUGUUCCCAUUAUUACAUCUCAUAAUUUUUU